This 3695-nucleotide long non-coding RNA is filed under the name Gossypium barbadense (sea-island cotton). RNAcentral's name for it is "long non-coding RNA (GBAR_LNC019225)". Lineage: Eukaryota; Viridiplantae; Streptophyta; Magnoliopsida; Malvales; Malvaceae. The record is from RNAcentral.
CCCAUCCCAUGCAUAUGCAUUAUGUCGUAUGAGAUGCAAACUAGAACUUGUUUCCAUUAUAAUCACAUUUCAGAGGCAUGAUCUAUACACCUUCAUUAUCAUUCAUUUCCAUAUAGUGAUGACACUUGUAACACCCCAAACACAACCUAAACAUUAUGGCUAGAUCUAGAGAAGUCACCAUGAUCAAUUAUGAAAAUUCAUAAAUAAAUUGAGGCUUGUAGAAAAUGCUAGUUUUUGAUAAAUACAAUCCCUAGUUUAUUUUAAAGAAAACCCAUCUCUUUUAAUUAUUUUGUAAAUUUUGUUGAUUAAUUUUAUGUUUAUAAAACACUUAUGUUUGCAAUGAAACUCUUAGUAAAAUUUAGCUUUGAGAAACGCGGUUUGUUUUCAAAAAUUCAACAUUUUGCUAAUAGAGUAAUUAUAAUUUAAAAUGAUUAAACGAUUCAAAAAAACAGAAAACCAAAAGUCCAAAACAAAAAUAAUCCCAAGAGUCCAAAAUAGUCCAACAGUAUCAAAAUAGAGUAAACAAAGUUUAAAGUAACACAAAUUAAAUGUGUUUAUCUGAGCUCCCGUCGCACCGACCCGUCCUAUGUCUAAGGAUUACCUGAGAAUCAAGCAAACAGAGAAUGAGCUUACAAGCAGUAUGUAACUUACUAUAAUUAAAAUAGUAGAUAAAAUUCAGAACAUGCAUUCAGAUACCAAUUAGACGAAUUUCAUAGACAGAAAUAGAAACAGAUGCAUAUCAGAUACAGAUACAGAUUAAUUUCCUACCCCCAUCUGCUACACACCAGCUCUGACCAUCCCUGCACACCAAUUAGGGUAUUAAAUACCCAAUUAGCCCUACACACCAAUUAGUGUCUGUAUGACACUUUUCAGAAUAUUUGUAGCCUAGCUACCAGAUCAAUAGGCGAUAUACUGCCAAAUAUGGAUAUACGUAGCUGAGCCACAAAAUUAGGCAGAUAAAUUAAACUAUCAGCAAUUCCUCCAUAAACAUAUUUCUCACCCCAAUGCAUAUGCAAAACUAGACAAUAUCACAUAUGUGCACGACAUGCAUGUUUUUCACAUCUGAUUAGAUCAUACCUAGCAUAUAACAGAACAUGCUAUCACAUAUAACAUACCACUCAUCCGUUUGCUAGUCAUAUUAAGCAAUAACAGAGUAUCAAAAAUCAUGGUUUAUAGGCAAUUUUAUACCAUAUGGGCCCUAUAGAAAGGUUAUAUUCGAUUCGCACGACAACCAGAACCCUAGGGAAAAUUUUCAGAAUUUAGGCCCACACGCCCGUGUGGCAUCGACAGUCUCAAUUUUGGCUUUCAGUCGUUCGCUAAUUUCUUGAGUUUUCGUUACACACUUCAUCUGAUUUUGAUUCGAUUGCAACCAUGAGAUUUCCAGAACCUAAAAAUAAUAAUUAAACCACCAAUUAAGACGAUUCCCACACCCAAUUCACAAAAAUUGAUAUAUCAAACAUCAAAUUUUAAACGAAGAAUUUCAACCUAAAACCCCAAUUUGACUCCUUAUCUUCAAGAAACAGCAGAACACCAAUGAUUCUAGGUUUCUGAAGAAUUAAUUGCCUUUCCAACUUCACCUAGAAAGUCAAACAAUUAAUCAUACAGAACAUAUUUAACCCACAACUAACAAAAAGAACAAUAAGAACAAACUCACUUAAUACAAGAGAAAACUUAAUGGCAGAUACACAAGUAAUUGAUUACGCUUAAUGGCAAUUGAUUUGCAGAAAGAAAAGGAAAAGAACAAAGUGUAGAACCGCACAAGAAAAAAAAGAAAAGAAACUAGCAAUUGGGAAAAAAUAAAAGUGGGAACUGAGGGAGAGGAAAGUGGAGAAUAAACAGAGGACACCUUACCACUAAACCAGCAGGCUCAUUUUAUCACAAGUUUAGUGGAAAUAGUAUUUAAGUCAAAUAAAAAGAGGUAGGGAUAGGACCUCAAACACACAUCCAAUGCAUUUAACCAUUGAACCAAAUCAAUUACUUAGACAAAAUUUAACAAAUCAAAACUUAGAUUUUGGGGGCAUUACAACACUUAUCAAGCAUUCCAUUUCAUAAUCAAUUCAAUGAAAUUCUAACAUGCCUCAUUUUCAUAAUAAUUUCUUAUGCAAUUUAACAUGUUACAAGAGGAAUUUUUCAAUACAUGUAUAACAAGCUCUCAACAGUACAUUCCAUGGCAUUUCACUUAAGCAUACAAUUCAACCAUUCAAUAGUUUUACUUUUGUAAUAUUAAUACAUGUUAUGCAUUCAACCAACAAUCAUUUUAUUUUCAAAUCAUCCAUGUUAUUUCAUACUGAUACCACUCGUAUAAAUAGUCAUUCAACCAUGCUAAUCUUGCACGAAUUCCAUUUAAUUAGGGCUUGAAAUGUACCUGAUUUAACCACCUUAAAAUUGUUUCCUUAGCCAUUUAAAAAGUCGUACCAACAAGGUUAAACAUCAAUUUAACCACUAAAAAUAUAAUUUAAACAGACAAGUUUACAGGUUAGAACACAAACCUUAAUUUCACAAAACCGCAGUACUACUUGUGAAAUCUACGCUUCCUUCACCAAACUUAAACGUACCUAAACCAAAAUCCAACUUUAAUAGAGUUAGGAUGUUGUCAAACCAGCCUUAAAACACCCUCUAAGGGUUUAGGCAAAUCAUUGUUACAAGGCCUUAAUUACAAAUCCAAAUCAGUUGAAUCAAUUACAAUGAUAUGGUGCGAAGCGAGAGCGUGGACGAAAAAUGGCUUCACUGCUGUUCUAGGAUGUUUAAAUCAAUGCCUAACACAUUAAAAUGCUAAAAAAUCAGUAGCUAAUCAUCCAUUUAAAACCUUAAAAUUAGUAGCUAAUCAAUAGUUGAUUAGGAUAGGAUAAAAUAGAUCUACCCUUGCCGGAAAAUACUCGAAAAAAUUGUGAAAAAUUAGCAGCUCUUAAUGGCAGAUCUAGGAGCAAAGCACCAGCAUAAUUGGCCACAUAGGGGCGGUUUUGCAAAACACCAAGGAGAUUUGUUUAAAAGCUGAUAAAGGAAUAUCUUUAGACUUGAAAAUUAGUAAAAAUAAAGGCUGAAAUAGUAGUGUAUUUUACUAAAUAAAUAACAUACUGUUGCUCAAUAAAAUGAAAAACUUUAGGGGUAACAACAACCACUGACGGUAGCAAUUUUUGGGAUAAUUUUGGCAAGUUCAAAAGGAAUGUUUUAGGGCUAGAAAUAAUUUUUUAAAAUUAGUAUAGAAAACAGAAAUUUUAAGAUAUGAUUUUGAAAACAAAACAAUAGGAAAAUGGUGUAGAAAAAUGAGAGAAUCAAGCACAUACUCUAGCAAGUUAAAGGGGCGAAAAUGGAGAUCUUUGUGGCAACAGUGGGAUCCAAUUUUUGAGUGGUUCAAGAGACUAAUUCAAGGUUGAAAAAAUAAUGAAAUAAAAUCGAAAGGGAGGAAGAAAAAUGACAAAAAUUAGCACCAGUGGAGAAGGGAAGGACGCCAAGGAAAAAUGAGUUUGGUGGGCGACACAAUGAAGGAGAAAAGAAGAAAAUUGAAAAAGGGAUAAAAGAGAAAAGGAAGGGGUGGCUAAGGUUGGAAAAAGGAUGACUAAAAGAUGAAAAAUAAAUGAAAAAGUGAUAUUUAUACCUAGAUUAACUAGGCAUGGGCAGCACAAAAAUAGGGGAAAGGAGGAAAAUUAGCAAAAGUAUGCUAUUUUGCAAGGGAAUAGAAUCAAACUUGAAUCCUU